Girardinichthys multiradiatus is the source of this 2647-nucleotide long non-coding RNA. RefSeq lists it as uncharacterized. NCBI's taxonomy places the organism in Eukaryota, Metazoa, Chordata, Actinopteri, Cyprinodontiformes, Goodeidae. The record is from RefSeq and is a predicted model, not a curated record. The transcript has 3 exons.
UGUUCUGGUCAUCAGAACCAAUGCUGAAGUAAGUGAUGCUAAAUGCGUAAAAGUUGACUUGAUCUUCAAUGAGCUUGCUCACAUUCAUGUUUGCCAGCCUGGAUUACCUCCCUGCCUUGGGCAUAACCUUUUUGAGGACAUUUUUACCUCAGAUUUGACAUUGUUCAUUAAUCACCUCAUAACAAAAGAAAAACCAUUCUCUUACCUUGAACUGACAAACCUUGCGAGGUAACCCCAGGUGCUGGAAAACUAUGGACAUGCGGUACAGAACUGGUGUUUUCUCAGGAUGCUCCCAGUGUUGAUUGGAGACAAAAUAAACAAAGCAUCAGAUGCUGAAGUGUGGCAGCUAAUUUUACAGCUUAGAGACAUUGUCAGUCUUGUUUGUGCGCCGAUGAUUACUGCUGGGCAGAUCAAAUAUCUCCGUGUUCUGAUAGAGGAGUAUUUGCAAAUUAGGAAGCAAAGUUUUCCAGAUCAUCCAUUGAAACCCAAACAUCACUAUCUGUGUCAUUAUUCAGACCUCAUUGUUAAGUUUGGGCCGUGGAUUCAUCUUUGGACACUAAGGUUUAAAAGUAAGCACACUUACUUCAAACAGUGAGCAAGAAAGUUGCACAACUUCAAGAAUAUUUGCCAAAGUCUGGCAGAAAGACAUCAGCUUUUGCAAGCUUUUCUGAGUGCUGGGAGUCUCUUUCGACCUGAUAUCGCAGUGGACAAAGGCACUGAGUUUUUUGCAAGUGAUUUCAAUGACAGUAUACAAAAGUCAGUUGCACAUUUAGACACUGAUCCAUCGAACACUUUAAUUGCCAAUGAUGUGACACUAAAAGGUGACACAAAGUAUAAGAGCAACAUGUAUGUUGUAAUAGGUCAUAAUGAUGAUGGCUUAUUAGUGGGAAAAAUAAAGAAAUUAUUGUUUAUAAAUACUCAGUAGUUUACUUCAUCUGUGAGAAACACCAAGCUAUUCGGCUUCCUUCCACUGAUUCUUAUCAUGCAAGCCCCGUAUCAAGAUCCUACUGCUGUGUCAAAGCAGAAGAACUGCUUGAUAUUUACCCACUGCCAGAAUAUAUAGUUUGGGCUGUGUCUCUUUUAAUACUCCACCAUUCUGUUCCUGUGUUUUAGACAAAUGUCAUCAUUAAGUAAAACAAUAAAGGGGAUAAUCCCCAAGGCUUUAGAUGUUGCUGACAAAACCAUGUCAGAUGUUUUACUUUUAAAUAACCUUUUUUAUGAUUUCAGAAACAAACACAGUCACACUAGACUUGGAGAUUAUUUCCAGUCCCUCAACUGCAUCCCCUAUUUCCAGUCCUUCAAGUGCUUCCAUAUACUCACUUUCUAGCAUACCACCAAUUUCACCACAACCUUCAGUACUGCAAACACCUCUUGUGUUAUACCGGAAUGAAAAGCAAAAGGUAUCCCAGGCUUGGCCUGCCACUGGAUAUUCAAACAGCAAUUUCAGAAGGCAAAAGACCCCCUCCUGACAAGAGGCGGCAAAUGAUAAAAAUCCUUGCAGAUGAAAUGCAGAAGUACAAGGCUAAUCCCAUACGUUCACAAUGCCUUACAGUCUGCCAGAAGAUAACCAAUCAAUACCCAGAUAGCUUUGCUGAUAUGACACCAAGUGGAAAGCUCAUUGCUGAAGGGUAUAGUUCCCUGUUCUCUCAACUCAAAUCACGAAAUGAGAAUAUCAACCAUUCCGGGACCUUUCAUAGGUACAGAUCACCAGGACCCUGUGGCAUAGCUGGAGUCAAACGGGGAUCAGCUGACAUGUAUAGGUGUACUAGGUUCCGGCCAGAACUCUCUCCAGAGGAAACUGAUGACACAGUGGAGGAGAAACGUCAGAGACUACAGAGCACUUUCAGCAAGUAUGGCAUUAAUGGAGAUGAUAUGCCAGAAGUGACAGAUUUGAUGGAGACCAUAUUUAGCUUUCAGCGUAGGCAUAUAAAGAGGAUCCCUGCUCCCUUCAUUGCUGAUCUUCAAAUCAACUGGCCUUACCUAUUUACACAAAGGGGAAUCUUUUCUCACUUUGAGUUGCUGACUGAUGUUCCUGUCCUCUGUGCACUGGAACUGUCAGUUGAGGAAUGUGGUAAUAAACUAAAGUAAAGAUUUUCAGUGUCCAGACAAGCUUGGAUUAUAAGGCAAUUGGCAACUUAACAUUGCUUCUCAUCCAACUAUCGAUGGCCCAUUUCAACGAGUCACCCAUUGGGCUGAUACUGAGUACUGAUGUAAGAUCACUGCAAAGAAAUAUUACAAGUUUUAUCCAGUUUUGCAUAUGCAUACUGUUUUUCUAAUAUGCACUUGUCCAUGGUAUACAGGAGUAUGCAAUAGUAGCCAAUGUUGAAACCAGCCUAAAUUUGCCAGCCAGCCAUCGUCUGACAAUGCUGGCUGGAUGGAUGAUCAGCGUUGAAGGCCAUGUCAUCUUUGAGGGGUCCCAGUCAACAUUUGUGACAGGAUUUGCAGCAGUGUUGGCCACUUUCUACAUAUUUAACCUCCAAUAUCAAGAUGAGGUGGCUAAGACUUUGGAGUUCAGUCAACGGGGCACAAAGACCAGCCAUGGCAAGAUGGUGUCCAAAAAAACAGGCAAGAUAAUCCAAAAGAAACUGCGGACAGUGAAUGCAGAUGUUUCUACCCUGAUCACAAACCUGAUGGACUUUGAAUGGCA